This 1603-nucleotide long non-coding RNA is filed under the name Triticum aestivum (bread wheat). RNAcentral describes it as "long non-coding RNA (TAES_LNC019423)". The record is from RNAcentral. Lineage: Eukaryota; Viridiplantae; Streptophyta; Magnoliopsida; Poales; Poaceae.
CCGUACUGAUUUUUAUGGUCGUCUUUUUAGCUCUUUUUACCAUCUGGCAAAGCAGUAAGAUUAAAGAUGUAAUGGUCGUAACUAUACUUCUCCUCGAAAAGCGAUCUAUGGGAAAAAAUACUUGUCCUCAACUCCUCAAGAAUCUGGAGGAUGUUGUGAGAGAUCUGACCUGGGAUUGUUACUCUCAUACAACCCUAUUCACAUCCAUGUUGUACUUACACUUGCGAGCUACUCACUGGCUCUGCAAUUUGAAUGAAACAGUUCUCAUUUUCAGUCAUUUUUUCUGGGUAUUCCACACGGGAAGAAAAUCACAUUAGGCAUGCAUACAAUUGUCAAUUUUUACAGGCUGAAAUUUUUGAAUAAUUGUCAAUUAGUUUUCAGCCGAUUGCUUGUCAAUCUUCGCAGAUUUCCAGUUUAACCCGCCCUCAAUCCAGGAGUAAUCUUGUAUAACAUUCAGUUACAAGACACAAACUAGUUAAAUAUGAUGACCCCCACCAUUAUAUCUGGCACACUGAUAAAAUACAUGGUUUAGUGUGCAUUGAAACAAUAGUUACGGAGUUUGCCUAUUUAUCUUGUUUCUCACUAUACUUUUGAUUCAUAGCGUGUUAUAGGUUCAUGUCAUUCCGAACAGUUUGGUACACCUAAUAUCCCUCUGAGAUAUCUAUGCUUUCAACAUUGUGUCCAGUUUAGGGUAGUGAAGCAUAUUAAUCCUAAAGUGUUAUAUGCGCUUGUGUGUUGGGGGCCUCUAUCUGUUUGUUAGUAUACUUCUGAGAACUGAUAAUAUUCUGCUUUUCAGGUAUCUGUUCAAGUGGAUGACAAUAAAUGUAUGAGGGUAGAGAGUAAUGUCUUCUUAUUUAUGGUGGGUAUGAGUAACAUUAAAUUGAAAUUUCAGACCUUUUACUAAUCCCUCCAUCCCAUAGUAUAAGACGUUUUUGCAAACUAAACAUAGCUUGCAAAAACGUCUUAUAUUGCGGGACGGAGGGAGUAGUAACCAGUAGAAAAAAUCAGGUUUUGGGGAGAAGAAAAGUGAACCUAAUUGCUCCAAUACUAUUAAUAGCACAAUACCAUGUUGCAUUCAGUGUUUCAGUCCUGGAGGCAUUGCUGAACAGAUGAAGUUGGUGGAAAACCUAUGGUCACCUAAAAAUUAAGCUGCUUGAAGAUCAAGUUCAGAAGUACUAUAGUCAGUUUUCAAGUUUGGUAGUAUUCACUUUUGUAAUAGUGAUUUCUGAAUAUUUCAUGCUACUAGUUACUUAGUGCUAAGUGGCAUUCAGUUGUUUUCAAACAAAUUUUAUUUCUACUUGUAAUGAUGGUUUUUGUUACGUGGGGUAUUUCCCCGAACCACUACAUGGAAUCUAUUUAUUAGACCAAUUUGUUCUAUGGUUACCGAAAAUUCCUCGUGCAAGAGUUAAUUAAUGGCCUAUGUUUCUUACUAUCACCAAAAAUGCCUCCUACAGAAUUGUUAGUGGCCUAUGUUUCUUGUGAUGACAAAAAUGCCUCCUACAGAAUUGUCAUAGUGGCCUAUGUUACUUAAAUCUCAUAUUUCAUUUUUGCUACAGAUCGAUGUAAGAUUAUCUGAGUAGCCGUAAGAUUACAGGAGGAUGCG